CGUGAAUAAUCUACCUCCGAGUGGGGAAUAACUUAGGGAAACCUGAGCUAAUACCGCAUAACACUUACGAGUCAAAGCAGCAAUGCGCUUGGAGAGGAGUUCGCGGCAGAUUAGUUAGUUGGCGGGGUAAUGGCCCACCAAGACGAUGAUCUGUAUCCGGCCUGAGAGGGCGCACGGACACACUGGAACUGAAACACGGUCCAGACUCCUACGGGAGGCAGCAGUGGGGAAUUUUGCGCAAUGGGGGAAACCCUGACGCAGCAACGCCGCGUGGAGGAUGAAAUCCCUUGGGAUGUAAACUCCUUUCGAUCGGGACGAUUAUGACGGUACCGGAAGAAGAAGCCCCGGCUAACUUCGUGCCAGCAGCCGCGGUAAUACGAGGGGGGCAAGCGUUGUUCGGAAUUAUUGGGCGUAAAGGGUGCGUAGGCGGUUUGAUAAGUCUUGUGUGAAAUCUCUGGGCUCAACCCAGAGUCUGCACAGGAAACUGUCGGGCUUGAGUAUGGGAGAGGUGAGUGGAAUUUCCGGUGUAGCGGUGAAAUGCGUAGAUAUCGGAAGGAACACCUGUGGCGAAAGCGGCUCACUGGACCAUUACUGACGCUGAUGCACGAAAGCUAGGGGAGCAAACAGGAUUAGAUACCCUGGUAGUCCUAGCCCU
RNAcentral lists this ribosomal RNA (655 nucleotides) under uncultured Acidobacteriota bacterium. RNAcentral's name for it is "bacterial SSU rRNA". It matches the Rfam family "Bacterial small subunit ribosomal RNA", at positions 116 to 803 of the family's 1533-position model. Lineage: Bacteria; Pseudomonadati; Acidobacteriota. The record is from RNAcentral.